AUUGAACGCUGGCGGCAGGCUUAACACAUGCAAGUCGAGCGGGGAAAGGUAGCUUGCUACCUAACCUAGCGGCGGACGGGUGAGUAAUGCUUAGGAAUCUGCCUAUUAGUGGGGGACAACAUCUCGAAAGGGAUGCUAAUACCGCAUACGUCCUACGGGAGAAAGCAGGGGACCUUCGGGCCUUGCGCUAAUAGAUGAGCCUAAGUCGGAUUAGCUAGUUGGUGGGGUAAAGGCCUACCAAGGCGACGAUCUGUAGCGGGUCUGAGAGGAUGAUCCGCCACACUGGGACUGAGACACGGCCCAGACUCCUACGGGAGGCAGCAGUGGGGAAUAUUGGACCAUAGGGGGAACCCUGAUCCAGCCAUGCCGCGUGUGUGAAGAAGGCCUUUUGGUUGUAAAGCACUUUAAGCGAGGAGGAGGCUACCGAGAUUAAUACUCUUGGAUAGUGGACGUUACUCGCAGAAUAAGCACCGGCUAACUCUGUG
Molecule: ribosomal RNA, 485 nt
Filed under: uncultured bacterium
Lineage: Bacteria
Description: partial 16S ribosomal RNA
Rfam family: Bacterial small subunit ribosomal RNA
Source: RNAcentral